Molecule: ribosomal RNA, 317 nt
Filed under: Pyramimonas obovata
Lineage: Eukaryota; Viridiplantae; Chlorophyta; Pyramimonadophyceae; Pyramimonadales; Pyramimonadaceae
Description: partial Bacterial small subunit ribosomal RNA
Rfam family: Bacterial small subunit ribosomal RNA
Source: RNAcentral
GUUUGAUCAUGGCUCAGAUUGAACGCUGGCGGCAGGCUUAACACAUGCAAGUCGAGCGGUAACAGGGGGUGCUUGCACCCCGCUGACGAGCGGCGGACGGGUGAGUAAUGCAUAGGAAACUGCCCAGUAGUGGGGGAUAGCCCGGGGAAACCCGGAUUAAUACCGCGUACGCCCUUCGGGGGAAAGCAGGGGAUCUUCGGACCUUGCGCUAUUGGAUGUGCCUAUGUCGGAUUAGCUAGUUGGUGGGGUAAAGGCCUACCAAGGCGACGAUCCGUAGCUGGUCUGAGAGGAUGAUCAGCCACAUCGGGACUGAGACA